GGAUGGAGGGGAGUGUCAGACUGGCUUCGCUAGCGUGAAGCAGGGCUCAGCUUGCCGAAGCUUGGAGACCCCAGCUCCCGACGAUGGGAGCGGCAGGGACCGGCUGUCUCCGUGCCCAAGGCAAGUAGCAGCUUAGGGCCGGGCGCCGCUCUCCGCCCUGAGGAAGGCUGUUGGGCAUGGGGAGACCUGGGUGCGGGGCUGGAGGCGGGAGCAGCUCAGACCCGGCAGGAACAGGCUUCCUUGGCCGGGAACCUCCCGCCGGCUUGCAGUCCAGGCAGCUCCGUGUGCCCUUACCUGCGGGGAGCGGAGCCGGGGAGGCGGGGCGGGAGGCGGCGCGGCUCUGCCCUGCCUCCCCGCUCGUCGCCGCUCGCUCCCCGGCCGGCGCUGUGUCUUCUGCGCCUCCAAGAUGAGCGGGCAGCGGCGAGGCGGCUGCCGGAACCCGCUGAGCAGCCCUGCACUGCUCAGAUUGCCCCAGGAUUGAGGUGCUGCAGAUGGCUCCUUUGUAGCUUCCGCAGCUCGGUUGCAUCGAGUGGACUGAUCUGAAGGUUGACCCCUUACCGUGCAGUCACCACCACCAAGAACCUCUCAUGUACAGUGCCUGCAGUCCAUUAUUCUAGCGUGUUUCAGAAGUGAAAAUUUCCCCCUGGAAAAGAAGCUGGUGUGAGGUCUGGAAGUGGUUUUACCAGGCAACCUCCACUGCAGAUGGCCAUUGCUCAUCUAGCAGGUGUUUAAUAAUUACACUUGGAAGGAUUAGAUUUGUAAUGGUGAAUGUUGGUACACGUCAGUUUCACAGUACACACACAAAUUGAGGAAAAAGUAUUUCCAGCAGUAAUAAUCAAAAAGUAAGAAAAAUGCCACUUGAGAACUUCUGAGCAUUUAGGGAUGUUUCCAUUGUAUAUUUUGACAUGUGAUCAUGCUAAAUUGGGUUUUAAUGGUUAUAGAGCUUUAACUUUCUGACUUUCAGUGUCUACUGCCAUUAUAUCAUUAUUGUCUUGCUCCGCUUGUGUGUGACCCCUUCCCAUAAUGUUGAGGAACUGUGAAAAAAACUAAAAAAUGGAUUGAAAAUAAACAUCAAUAUUAACUGUUGAAAUGAUCA
This 1096-nucleotide long non-coding RNA is filed under the name Chrysemys picta bellii (western painted turtle). Its description in RNAcentral is "lncRNA (ENSCPBG00000014814.1)". Lineage: Eukaryota; Metazoa; Chordata; Testudines; Emydidae. The record is from RNAcentral.